This 253-nucleotide ribosomal RNA is filed under the name uncultured bacterium. RNAcentral's name for it is "partial 16S ribosomal RNA". It matches the Rfam family "Bacterial small subunit ribosomal RNA", at positions 524 to 776 of the family's 1533-position model. The record is from RNAcentral.
UACGGAGGGUGCAAGCGUUAUACGGCCUCACUGGGUUUAAAAGGUGCGUCGGCGGGCUGAUAAGUCAGGGGUGAAAGCUCACGGCUCAACCGCGGAAUUGCCUUUGAUACUGUUAGUCUUGAAACGGGUUGAGGUUGGCGGAAUAUGGCAUGUAGCGGUGAAAUGCAUAGAUAUGCCAUAGAACACCGAUUGCGAAGGCAGCUGACUGGACCCGAUUUGACGCUGAGGCACGAAAGCGUGGGGAGCGAACAGG